Small nuclear RNA from Malaclemys terrapin pileata, 144 nucleotides. RefSeq annotates it as U4 spliceosomal RNA. The transcript has a single exon. The record is from RefSeq and is a predicted model, not a curated record. Lineage: Eukaryota; Metazoa; Chordata; Testudines; Emydidae.
AGAUCUGAGCUUUAGAGUAUAUCAUAGCCAAUGAGGUUAAUCUGAGGCGUGAUUAUUGCUAGUUGAAAACUUUUCCCAAUACCCUGCCAUGAUCAGUUUACAUCUAAGACUAAUUCCCAAAAUAUUGUGCCUUUUGUCACCAAA